This 229-nucleotide ribosomal RNA is filed under the name uncultured bacterium. Its description in RNAcentral is "partial 16S ribosomal RNA". It matches the Rfam family "Bacterial small subunit ribosomal RNA", at positions 104 to 334 of the family's 1533-position model. The record is from RNAcentral.
CGGGGUGAGUAAUGUCUGGGAAACUGCCUGAUGGAGGGGGAUAACUGCUGGAAACGGUAGCUAAUACCGCAUAACGUCGCAAGACCAAAGAGGGGGACCUUCGGGCCUCUUGCCAUCGGAUGUGCCCAGAUGGGAUUAGCUAGUAAGUGGGGUAACGGCUCACCUAGGCGACGAUCCCUAGCUGGUCUGAGAGGAUGACCAGCCACACUGGAACUGAGACACGGUCCAG